UUGAGGAAGUAAAAGUCGUAACAAGGUCUCCGUUGGUGAACCAGCGGAGGGAUCAUUACUGAGUUACCGCUCUACAACCCUUUGUGAACAUACCUAACUGUUGCUUCGGCGGGCAGAGGUCCCUCGCGGAUCUCUCCCGGCAACGCCCUCACGGGCGGAGCGCCCGCCGGAGGAUACCAAACUCUAUUUUAACGACGUUUCUUCUGAGUGGCACAAGCAAAUAAUUAAAACUUUUAACAACGGAUCUCUUGGUUCUGGCAUCGAUGAAGAACGCAGCGAAAUGCGAUAAGUAAUGUGAAUUGCAGAAUUCAGUGAAUCAUCGAAUCUUUGAACGCACAUUGCGCCCGCCAGCAUUCUGGCGGGCAUGCCUGUUCGAGCGUCAUUUCAACCCUCAAGCUCUGCUUGGUGUUGGGGCCCUACGGUUAACGUAGGCCCUUAAAGGUAGUGGCGGACCCUCUCGGAGCCUCCUUUGCGUAGUAACUAACGUCUCGCACUGGGAUUCGGAGGGAUUCUAGCCGUAAAACCCCCAAUUUUUUAAGGUUGACCUCGGAUCAGGUAGGAAUACCCGCUGAACUUAAGCAUAUCAU
The sequence is a ribosomal RNA, 587 nucleotides long. The stretch from base 229 to 382 matches the Rfam family "5.8S ribosomal RNA".